CGGGAUGUAGCUCAGCCUGGUAGAGUGCUGCGUUCGGGACGCAGAGGUCGCAAGUUCAAAUCUUGUCAUCCCGACC
RNAcentral lists this transfer RNA (76 nucleotides) under Gimesia aquarii. RNAcentral's name for it is "tRNA-Pro". It matches the Rfam family "tRNA". Rfam says of the family: Transfer RNA (tRNA) molecules are approximately 80 nucleotides in length. Their secondary structure includes four short double-helical elements and three loops (D, anti-codon, and T loops). The record is from RNAcentral. Lineage: Bacteria; Pseudomonadati; Planctomycetota; Planctomycetia; Planctomycetales; Planctomycetaceae.